This 459-nucleotide ribosomal RNA is filed under the name uncultured bacterium. RNAcentral describes it as "partial 16S ribosomal RNA". It matches the Rfam family "Bacterial small subunit ribosomal RNA", at positions 338 to 795 of the family's 1533-position model. The record is from RNAcentral.
CCUACGGGAGGCAGCAGUGAGGAAUAUUGGUCAAUGGCCGGGAGGCUGAACCAGCCAAGUCGCGUGAGGGAAGACGGCCCUACGGGUUGUAAACCUCUUUUGUCAGGGAGCAAGGUGCAGGUCGGGACCUGCUGUGAGAGUACCUGAAGAAAAAGCAUCGGCUAACUCCGUGCCAGCAGCCGCGGUAAUACGGAGGAUGCGAGCGUUAUCCGGAUUUAUUGGGUUAAAAGGGUGCGCAGGCGGAGGCACAAGUCAGCGGUAAAAUCGCGGGGCGCAACCCCGCGCCGCCGUUGAAACUGUGUGCCUUGAGUGCGCGAAGGGUAGGCGGAAUGCGUGGUGUAGCGGUGAAAUGCAUAGAUAUCACGCAGAACUCCGAUCGCGAAGGCAGCCUACCGGCGCGCAACUGACGCUCAUGCACGAAAGCGUGGGUAUCGAACAGGAUUAGAUACCCCUGUAGUC